Molecule: unclassified non-coding RNA, 170 nt
Filed under: uncultured Ascomycota
Lineage: Eukaryota; Fungi; Ascomycota
Description: sequence contains ITS2
Source: RNAcentral
CAACCCUCGAGCCCCCCGGGGGCCCGGCGUUGGGGACCGGCUCCCGCCCUCGCGGCGGCUGCCGCCCCCGAAAUACAGUGGCGGUCACGCCGCAGCCUCCCCUGCGCAGUAGCACAACUCGCACCGGAGCGCGGCGCGGCCACGCCGUAAAACCCCCCAUACCUUCUGAA